GAACUAUCAUUGUAGCCCCUUAACAACUGAACCCAACUAAAUGGAGCAAAAAAUGUAGGCUCUGAUGCUUUAUUUGUCUCCAAGAUCAAAGGUAUCUGGUUUCUUUUAUAAAGCACCGUGGCCUCCAUACCGACAGGUCCCAUUCAUGACAACUAGCAAGAAUACUUGCACCAAAGAGUGAACCUACAAACUCCGACAUGACUCCGCACAUAACCCAGCCGAUCUG
This 226-nucleotide long non-coding RNA is filed under the name Elaeis guineensis (African oil palm). RNAcentral describes it as "long non-coding RNA (EGUI_LNC045671)". Lineage: Eukaryota; Viridiplantae; Streptophyta; Magnoliopsida; Arecales; Arecaceae. The record is from RNAcentral.